Molecule: ribosomal RNA, 207 nt
Filed under: uncultured bacterium
Lineage: Bacteria
Description: partial 16S ribosomal RNA
Rfam family: Bacterial small subunit ribosomal RNA
Source: RNAcentral
UCCGCAGGGGGUUUGCCAAGUCUGAUGUGAAAUCCCGUGGCUCAACUGCGGAAUGGCAUUGGAUACUGGCGGACUGGAGUCUGCGAGAGGUGAGCGGAAUUCCUGGUGUAGCGGUGGAAUGCGUAGAUAUCAGGAAGAACACCCAUGGCGAAGGCAGCUCACUGGCGCAGUACUGACCCUCAGGGACGAAAGCGUGGGGAGCAAACA